CAUAUCAAUAAGCGGAGGAAAAGAAACCAACAGGGAUUGCCCUAGUAACGGCGAGUGAAGCGGCAACAGCUCAAAUUUGAAAUCUGGCGCAAGCCCGAGUUGUAAUUUGUAGAGGAUGCUUCUGGGUAGCGACCGAUCUAAGUUCCUUGGAACAGGACGUCAUAGAGGGUGAGAAUCCCGUAUGUGACCGGCCCGCACCCUUUACGUAGCUCCUUCGACGAGUCGAGUUGUUUGGGAAUGCAGCUCUAAAUGGGAGGUAAAUUUCUUCUAAAGCUAAAUACCGGCCAGAGACCGAUAGCGCACAAGUAGAGUGAUCGAAAGAUGAAAAGUACUUUGGAAAGAGAGUUAAAAAGCACGUGAAAUUGUUGAAAGGGAAGCGCCUGCAACCAGACUUCGCGGCAGUGUUCCGCCGGUCUUCUGACCGGUUCAUUCUCUGUCGCGAGGCCAUCAUCGUCUGGGCCCGCCGGAUAAGACCUGAGGAAUGUGGCUCCCCCUCGGGGGAGUGUUAUAGCCUCUGGUGAUGCGGCGUGGCUCGGGCGAGGUCCGCGCUUCGGCAAGGAUGAUGGCGUAAUGGUUGUCGGCGGCCCGUCUUGAAACACGGACCAAGGAGUCUAACAUCUAUGCGAGUGUUCGGGUGUCAAACCCCUACGCGUAAUGAAAGUGAACGGAGGUGGGAACCGCAAGGUGCACCAUCGACCGAUCCUGAUGUCCUCGGAUGGAUUUGAGUAAGAGCAUAGCUGUUGGGACCCGAAAGAUGGUGAACUAUGCCUGAAUAGGGUGAAGCCAGAGGAAACUCUGGUGGAGGCUCGCAGCGGUUCUGACGUGCAAAUCGAUCGUCAAAUUUGGGUAUAGGGGCGAAAGACUAAUCGAACCAUCUAGUAG
This 882-nucleotide ribosomal RNA is filed under the name Cercospora tetragoniae. RNAcentral's name for it is "partial large subunit ribosomal RNA". It matches the Rfam family "Eukaryotic large subunit ribosomal RNA", at positions 39 to 950 of the family's 3401-position model. Lineage: Eukaryota; Fungi; Ascomycota; Dothideomycetes; Mycosphaerellales; Mycosphaerellaceae. The record is from RNAcentral.